AGUGAACGCUGGCGGUAGGCCUAACACAUGCCAGUCGAACGGCAGCACAGUAAGAGCUUGCUCUUACGGGUGGCGAGUGGCGGACGGGUGAGGAAUACAUCGGAAUCUACUUUUUCGUGGGGGAUAACGUAGGGAAACUUACGCUAAUACCGCAUACGACCUACGGGUGAAAGCAGGGGAUCUUCGGACCUUGCGCGAUUGAAUGAGCCGAUGUCGGAUUAGCUAGUUGGCGGGGUAAAGGCCCACCAAGGCGACGAUCCGUAGCUGGUCUGAGAGGAUGAUCAGCCACACUGCAACUGAGACACGGUCCAGACUCCUACGGGAGGCAGCAGUGCGGAAUAUUGGACAAUGGGCGCAAUCAUGAUCCAGCCAUACCGCGUGGGUGAAGAAGGCCUUCGGGUUGUAAAGCUAUUUUGCUGGGAAAGAAAAGUAGCACGUUAAUCCCCCGCUGUUCUGACGGUACCCAAAGAAUAAGCACCGGCUAACUUCGUG
RNAcentral lists this ribosomal RNA (492 nucleotides) under uncultured bacterium. RNAcentral describes it as "partial 16S ribosomal RNA". It matches the Rfam family "Bacterial small subunit ribosomal RNA", at positions 29 to 507 of the family's 1533-position model. The record is from RNAcentral.